AGUGCAUGUGGUGGAUGCCUUGGCAGUCAGAGGCGAUGAAAGACGUGAUAGCCUGCGAAAAGCUCCGGGGAAGGCGGCAAAUAUCCUUUGAUCCGGAGAUGUCUGAAUGGGGGAACCCACCUACUUUAAGGUAGGUAUUGCAACAUGAAUACAUAGUGUUGCAAGGCGAACGAGGGGAAGUGAAACAUCUCAGUACCCUUAGGAAAAGAAAUCAAUUGAGAUUCCCUCAGUAGCGGCGAGCGAACGGGGAUCAGCCCAUUAAGUUAUGUGUGUUUUAGUGGAACGCUCUGGGAAGUGCGAACGUAGAGGGUGAUAUUCCCGUACACGAAAGGGCACACAUAAUGAUGACGAGUAGGGCGAGGCACGUGAAACCUUGUCUGAAUAUGGGGGGACCAUCCUCCAAGGCUAAAUACUCCUGACUGACCGAUAGUGAACCAGUACCGUGAGGAAAGGCGAAAAGAACCCCUGUAGAGGGGAGUGAAAUAGAUCCUGAAACCGCAUGCAUACAAGCAGUGGGAGCACCUUCGUGGUGUGACUGCGUACCUUUUGUAUAAUGGGUCAGCGACUUAUAUUCAGUAGCGAGGUUAACCGUAUAGGGGAGCCGUAGAGAAAUCGAGUCUUAAUAGGGCGUUUAGUUGCUGGGUAUAGACCCGAAACCAGGCGAUCUAUCCAUGAGCAGGUUGAAGGUUGGGUAACACUAACUGGAGGACCGAACCCACUGUCGUUGAAAAGCCAGGGGAUGACUUGUGGAUAGGGGUGAAAGGCUAAUCAAGCCUGGUGAUAGCUGGUUCUCCCCGAAAGCUAUUUAGGUAGCGCCUCGGACGAAUACCAUAGGGGGUAGAGCACUGUUUCGGCUAGGGGGUCAUCCCGACUUACCAAACCGAUGCAAACUCCGAAUACCUAUGAGUACUAUCCGGGAGACAGACUGCGGGUGCUAACGUCCGUAGUCAAGAGGAAAACAAUCCAGACCGCCAGCUAAGGCCCCAAAAUCAUAGUUAAGUGGGAAACGAUGUGGGAAGGCAUAGACAGCUAGGAGGUUGGCUUAGAAGCAGCCACCCUUUAAAGAAAGCGUAAUAGCUCACUAGUCGAGUCGGCCUGCGCGGAAGAUGUAACGGGGCUAAAACUAUGUGCCGAAGCUGCGGAUGUAUACUUUGUAUACGUGGUAGGGGAGCGUUCUGUAAGCCGAUGAAGGUGUGUUGAGAAGCAUGCUGGAGGUAUCAGAAGUGCGAAUGCUGACGUGAGUAACGACAAAACGGGUGAAAAACCCGUUCGCCGAAAGACCAAGGGUUCCAGUCCAACGUUAAUCGGGGCUGGGUGAGUCGACCCCUAAGGCGAGGCCGAAAGGCGUAGUCGAUGGGAAAAUGGUUAAUAUUCCAUUACUUCUGUGUAAUGCGAUGAGAGGACGGAGAAGGCUAAAUCAGCCUGGCGUUGGUUGUCCAGGUGAAAGGAUGUAGGCAUGUAUCUUAGGCAAAUCCGGGGUACUCUAUGCUGAGAUCUGAUAGCAAGCUGUACUUGUACAGCGAAGUGGUUGAUGCCAUGCUUCCAGGAAAAGUCUCUAAGCUUCAGUUACACAGGAAUCGUACCCGAAACCGACACAGGUGGUCAGGUCGAGUAGACCAAGGCGCUUGAGAGAACUCUGCUGAAGGAACUAGGCAAAAUGGUACCGUAACUUCGGGAGAAGGUACGCUGUUGUUGGUGAUGGAACUCGCUUCCUGAGCUGACGACAGCCGCAGAAACCAGGCCGCUGCAACUGUUUAUUAAAAACAUAGCACUCUGCAAACACGAAAGUGGACGUAUAGGGUGUGAUGCCUGCCCGGUGCUGGAAGGUUAAUUGAUGGGGUUAGCGUAAGCGAAGCUCUUGAUCGAAGCCCCAGUAAACGGCGGCCGUAACUAUAACGGUCCUAAGGUAGCGAAAUUCCUUGUCGGGUAAGUUCCGACCUGCACGAAUGGCAUAAUGAUGGCGGCGCUGUCUCCAGCAGAGGCUCAGUGAAAUCGAAAUCGCUGUGAAGAUGCAGUGUACCCGCGGCUAGACGGAAAGACCCCGUGAACCUUUACUGCAGCUUGACACUGAACUUUGACCUUACUUGUGUAGGAUAGGUGGGAGGCUUUGAAGCUGGAACGCUAGUUCCAGUGGAGCCGUCCUUGAAAUACCACCCUGGUAAUGUUGAGGUUCUAACUCUGUCCCGUGAUCCGGGACGAGGACCGUGUCUGGUGGGUAGUUUGACUGGGGCGGUCUCCUCCUAAAGAGUAACGGAGGAGUACGAAGGUGCGCUCAGCGUGGUCGGAAAUCACGCGUAGAGUAUAAAGGCAAAAGCGCGCUUAACUGCGAGACCCACAAGUCGAGCAGGUACGAAAGUAGGUCUUAGUGAUCCGGUGGUUCUGUAUGGAAGGGCCAUCGCUCAACGGAUAAAAGGUACUCUGGGGAUAACAGGCUGAUACCGCCCAAGAGUUCAUAUCGACGGCGGUGUUUGGCACCUCGAUGUCGGCUCAUCUCAUCCUGGGGCUGAAGCAGGUCCCAAGGGUAUGGCUGUUCGCCAUUUAAAGAGGUACGCGAGCUGGGUUUAGAACGUCGUGAGACAGUUCGGUCCCUAUCUACCGUGGGCGCUGGAAAUUUGAGAGGAUCUGCUCCUAGUACGAGAGGACCAGAGUGGACGAACCUCUGGUGUACCGGUUGUGACGCCAGUCGCAUCGCCGGGUAGCUAUGUUCGGAAGGGAUAACCGCUGAAAGCAUCUAAGCGGGAAGCCUACCUCAAGAUAAGAUUUCCCUAGGACUUUAUGUCCUCUAAAGAGCCGUUCGAGACUAGGACGUUGAUAGGUUGGAUGUGGAAGCAUAGUGAUAUGUGAAGCUGACCAAUACUAAUUGCUCGUGAGGCUUGACU
RNAcentral lists this ribosomal RNA (2879 nucleotides) under Acinetobacter baumannii AB5075. RNAcentral's name for it is "bacterial LSU rRNA". It matches the Rfam family "Bacterial large subunit ribosomal RNA". The record is from RNAcentral. Lineage: Bacteria; Pseudomonadati; Pseudomonadota; Gammaproteobacteria; Moraxellales; Moraxellaceae.